Molecule: ribosomal RNA, 497 nt
Filed under: uncultured bacterium
Lineage: Bacteria
Description: partial 16S ribosomal RNA
Rfam family: Bacterial small subunit ribosomal RNA
Source: RNAcentral
GAUGAACGCUGGCGGCGUGCCUAAUACAUGCAAGUCGAGCGAACGGACGAGAAGCUUGCUUCUCUGAUGUUAGCGGCGGACGGGUGAGUAACACGUGGAUAACCUACCUAUAAGACUGGGAUAACUUCGGGAAACCGGAGCUAAUACCGGAUAAUAUUUUGAACCGCAUGGUUCAAAAGUGAAAGACGGUCUUGCCGUCACUUAUAGAUGGAUCCGCGCUGCAUUAGCUAGUUGGUAAGGUAACGGCUUACCAAGGCAACGAUGCCUAGCCGACCUGAGAGGGUGAUCGGCCACACUGGAACUGAGACACGGUCCAGACUCCUACGGGAGGCAGCAGUAGGGAAUCUUCCGCAAUGGGCGAAAGCCUGACGGAGCAACGCCGCGUGAGUGAUGAAGGUCUUCGGAUCGUAAAACUCUGUUAUUAGGGAAGAACAUAUGUGUAAGUAACUGUGCACAUCUUGACGGUACCUAAUCAGAAAGCCACGGCUAACUACGUG